Molecule: RNA transcript, 4076 nt
Organism: Camarhynchus parvulus
Lineage: Eukaryota; Metazoa; Chordata; Aves; Passeriformes; Thraupidae
Gene: HDAC8
Gene name: histone deacetylase 8
Exons: 3
Source: RefSeq, a predicted model, not a curated record
CCUGAGUUUUUGCCAGACAAGUUUCUUGUGACCGGCAGUGUUCCCUGCUGAAUUCACAGCAUUUGUUGUCGUCCCACGAACAGGAUGUUAGUUCGUUCCAGGCGGGCUCGAACGAAUGAGACUAGCUUGUUCAGCAGGCAUGGCCCGAAGGUAACAGUUAAAAGCAGCAUUACCAAUGGGCCUGCCAGGGUAGAAAUUAGAGUGGUCAGCCAAGGUGAUUGGUUGAACCAGGACUCGAACCAACCCUGUUGGGCUUCCCUGUCUUUCUGUCUCUGAGCCAGUCUGUUUCGGAGUUCUGCCAUAGAGUCUCUAACGACUCCCGUGUGGUCCGCGUAGAAGCAGCAUUCCUCUUUCAAGGCGGCACACAGGCCUCCUUGCUGCAUGAGCAGGAGAUCCAGUCCUCGCCUGUUCUGCAGGACCACUUCUGAGAGUGAGGAGACUGAUUUCUCUAGGAAGGAAAUGGAUUUCUCGAUCCUCUGCAGGUCUUCGUCAAUGGUCAUCUGCAGCUGUGACAGUCCUUGGUGCUGAGUUGGUUGGGCCGAGACACCUGUCGCCGUUCCGGCUGCUCCUAGGCCGAGCAGCAUUGCGAUAGUUAUACCUGUUAAUAUUUCUCUUUUGUGGACUCGGCUGGGUUCCUCGAACAGGUGGUACACCUCUUCGUCUGAGUGGUACAGGACCCUAGGAACGAUCAGAACUUGGACACAAAAGUCGUUAGAGGUACUGAAUUUGGCAAGGAACACACAGGGACUCACUCCAGAUCUCUGGCAAACCCACAUCCCCGAUGCAGACGGGACUGCCCACUUAUUAUUUUUCUUGUUGGGCUGGACUGCUUCGGUACAGACGUCGCCCUUUCGCUUGGCUAGGGUUGCAUUACCAAAGCAUCUCCCCCGACCUGUAACUUGACUCAGGGUGAUUCCUUGGCGGGGGGUGUCCCACCUGCACUGGUGAGGGGCGUCGGCUGUGGAAUAGCUAAAGGGGAUGUCUAAGGCGAUUCCUUCGUAAAAGGGGGGUUUUAUAUCAUAACAAAGCCAGCAGGAGUCUGUUAGGUUAGGGUUAGAUUCGUUUAGGGAUAGGAAGGUGGCUUCUAACAUGCUUAGGAUUGGGUCCGAUUCUGACCUGGUCGAGCGACCUAUCUGGAAGGUUUCCAUGCCACCGGUCGGGACGUCGGUGACCUUUGUGGGCAAGGUCUUGGGAUAGGUUAUGUUUCUCCCUCUCUGUGUGCUUUUAAUCACUUUGUUGGGUCCAACCGCUCGGGGUGCUGACGGUUGGAGCCUGGUAAUUUGCACAUUCACCCACUGUUUUGACCCUUGAAGGACUGCUGUCCACACUUUGCCCAGAACUGAAGCCCUAUGACAUGGGGGUCCUGGCUGCCAUAAAGGCGGCAUGUCCCCCACACCUUCAGGGGCUCCUUCCCUAUAUUCAUGGCCAGGGCCACCCAGGGGUUCCUCUCUGGGACGUCCCCUGCUGGCCCUGUGGCACUUGCACAGCUUGUGAUGGCGGGGGGUGCGGGGAAACCGUAGGUGGUGCUGCACUGCUGUGCCACUGUAUCGCUGGUAGGGGUGCGAUGUUGGCUGCCUGCUGAGGGAGCAUAGGGUACGAGGGUUCCCCACCCCACUGAGGGUUGGCAUAGAUGGGCCGUCUCGUAUUCACAGCGGGAGGAGACUGAAUAUGGCCCGCGCGCCCCCUCCCUUUCCCGUUUCCCCGGGGCCGAGAUCUGCAGUCCCUAGCGAGGUGACCUCUCUUCCCACAGCUCCAGCAGACCCCUCUCGGGCGUUGCUGGAACGAGGGUGCUGCCAAGGGAACCUGUGCUGGCGUGGGACAGCUUGCAGCGACAUGUCCUGCUUGGCCACAUUUAAAGCAAGCCAUUGCACUGGUCAGGGUAUGAACAGCUGCUUGGAUGGGUGUCAGCUGUUCCUCCUUCACAACGUGUUUGAUCGUGUCAGCCAAGUUAGCCCCGGCUGGCAGCGAGCGCAGUAUCUCUUUGGUAACAGUGUUACACUGCUGCCGCAGGCAAUCAAACACUACAGGACCUCUUGCCGCUGGGGGCAAGGUGGAGGAGUCUACCGCAGCCUGCAAGCGGUCUACGAAUUUUGUAAAGCUUUCACUCUCCCCUUGCUUAAUGGUGGGCCACGGUGUCGGUGUGUUCACCACCCUAGAGGCGGCGCGUAUGGCCUCCCUGGCCGCCCGAGAUGUGGCCCUAACUUCCUCAGCCCGGAGGUGCGCAGCUUGCUGCUGUGGGGUAGCCACUUCGUCAUGUUUCCCCAACAGCCGGGACAAGCUGGACCCGUGGAGUGGCUGUCCCUCUCCAGACGCCCGCGCUAGUUCGGCUGCACAAUGAUCUGUCCAUUCCUGCUUAAAAACGAUCCGCCCCGCUCCGUCAAAAAACAUGCGGCUUGCUUGCGCAAUAUCAAAAGGAAGCAGAUCGUCAUUGCUAAAAAGGCCGUCCACGAGCGUGGAAACUACCGCUGAAUUGAUUCCUUUCUCUGAAAUAGCCUUAACAAUCGCCUGAACUUCUUUGGGGUUUACCGGAGUGUAUGUUCUUUGCUGGUUUCCCUGGGCUCCCGUGACCCUUACGGGAAAGGCGUGCACCGUUUCCGCGGGUUUCCAGUCAGCACAAGCUAUUUUUAUUUUUCCCCAGUCAGUGAGCUCGUACUGUGGCUGAUUCCCGGUUUUAUUUUUAGCUUUAUUCGGUUUCGUCCGAAACCGCAUUAAUUCUGUUCUCUCCGCGUCCGAGUCGCUGCCGGUUUCGGAGCAGUCUGGGGAGCUCUGGCUCCACUCAGAGUCGGAAGUAAACUGCUGACAGACUUCCGGUCCUCCCUGCCUUUUCGUUCGGCUCCGGCCCCGCUCCUCCCCUCGGGGGCGGUGCCGCUCCCGCCCCCUGGGCUUGCCCUGCCUCCCGCUGGGCGGGAUCUCCCCCUUAUAUGGUGGUGGCACGGGGCGCGGCUCCCAAGCGAGCGUCCGCCCCCCGCCGCCUCCCCGCGCAGGCGCGUUUGCCAGGGUCUGCAGCCCCUGACGGGACGCGCGCUCCGCGCUGGCCUCCCGCGCAUGCGUUUCCGCGUCUGUCUUUGUUCGCGGGCUUUUCGCGGCGUGGUCCCGCUGACUCCGCCCCUCCCCGGCUCGCCCGCGCCAUUUUCAAACGAAUAUGGCGGUGGGAACGGCGCCGCCGCUCCCGGCGCGCCCGCGCCCGCUGCCGUUUCGGCACCCCGGGCCGCGUCUGCGAGCUCUCCCCAGAAAGACCGCGCGCGUUGUUCCGCCGUUUGCAUCGGAUCGGCGACCGGCGGGGAAGGGACCGAAGGGGAAACCGCGGUUUUUCCGGGAGAUUCUGAGGGGGGGGAUUUCGGACUCGGCGGGUCCCGCGGAAGGGCAGGGGGGUACCCUGAGGGUUCCGGGGCAUCUGGGCUCGGGCACGGGGAGGGAUGGAACGCGCCCGGCCCCCGCGUGAUCUCUUUUUCGGUCGGCUCGCUUUCGGGGCUGGUCUGUGUCGCCGCACCCACCCCCAACUUCGGUACGGCUAAUAAACGCGACCGCGCGGCCUCCCACGUCUCGUGUUCUUCUAAUGCUUGGCGUAGGGCGAUUUCUACCUUACCCCACGCCUUCAGGCUUUUUCCACUGCCUGUGGAUUUAGUAUCCUCUGCCAAGGAGGCAGUGCAUUUAUCCCAAACCUCCGAAUGUAAUAUAUCUACGGGCCGUGAAAUAGCUCCAAGCUCUAGGAGUCUUGUCACAGCAAGGGUAAAAUUCCUGAGCUCACAUUUAAUUCCCCAUUGUGUAUGCAUCGAACUUACGACCUUCGCUAUCGCCUCCAUUCGGCUCGCAGGUCCUGGGGCGUCCCCCUUCUCUCGCCACAGUCGUUCCAGCCGCUGUGGCCGCUGUCUCUGUCCAGGAGAAUCCCGUCACCCGCGGAGACGAUUCCCGGGUUUCGGCACCACUUGUAGCGGGAUGAAGCUUCUGGUUUCUGUUACCUGAAUGACGCUGUCUUGGGGAUCCUGCGACUGCGCCAGAAAUUUGACCGCAUCCUUUAUAUUGAUUUGGAUUUGCAUCAUGGGGAUGGAGUUGAGGAUGCCUUUAGUUUCACCUCG